GACGAACGCUAGCGGCAGGCCUAAUACAUGCAAGUCGAACGGUAAGGUCCCUUCGGGGAUACACGAGUGGCGCACGGGUGCGUAACGCGUAUGCAACCUACCUUUCAGCGGGGGAAAGUCGAUGGAAACGUUGAAUAAUACCCCAUAUGCUCACGGAAUCGAUUGUUUCUGUGAGGAAAGCUCCGGCGCUGAGAGAUGGGCAUGCGUGAUAUUAGCUAGUUGGUGAGGUAACGGCUCACCAAGGCGACGAUAUCUAGCUGGUCUGAGAGGAUGAUCAGCCACACGGGCACUGAGACACGGGCCCGACUCCUACGGGAGGCAGCAGUAAGGAAUAUUGGGCAAUGGAGGCAACUCUGACCCAGCCAUGCCGCGUGAAGGAAGACGGAUCUUGGUCUGUAAACUUCUUUUAGGUGGGGUUAAUAAGGUUCUAUAUGGACCGAUGCAGGUACCACCUGAAUAAGCACCGGCUAACUACG
This 476-nucleotide ribosomal RNA is filed under the name uncultured Bacteroidota bacterium. RNAcentral describes it as "bacterial SSU rRNA". It matches the Rfam family "Bacterial small subunit ribosomal RNA", at positions 28 to 505 of the family's 1533-position model. The record is from RNAcentral. Lineage: Bacteria; Pseudomonadati; Bacteroidota.